Molecule: long non-coding RNA, 1772 nt
Filed under: Sarcophilus harrisii (Tasmanian devil)
Lineage: Eukaryota; Metazoa; Chordata; Mammalia; Dasyuromorphia; Dasyuridae
Description: lncRNA (ENSSHAG00000024366.1)
Source: RNAcentral
GUGGAUGGAGGUCAGUGUAGAGGCUAAGCCAAGGUUCUUGUUCCUCCAGGAAGUGAGCGAGAAUUCCUGCUAUGACCUGACCAGGGUGAAAAUGAUGAGAACCCUGACGUCAUGAGGCUGCUCAGGUAGAAUCCAGUACUGGCAGUCUUCCUGGGUGCAGGCUGUGAGGGGCUGAUGGUGCUACUAGCAGAAUGGUCUUGAGGUGGCUGGAAGCCUUUGGGAGCACCAAAACAGCCCCAGCACCAAAGAGACACUGCCUCCCGCCCAUCUUAAGAGAAAUUCACAUGGCAAGCCCAGUUUCCGCUCCCCCAGGAGAGCCCACCCAGAUCUUCCCCUUCCUUCUCAACCACCCAGAUGAUAAGCACAACGAUCUCCAAGUGGCUUUCCUGAAUAUCUACCACAACCAGACCCUCAAAACCCUCAUGGCCUGGAGUGGGUGGUGCAAUUCUGCCCCAGGACUCACUAUGUGCUUAAGGUGAAUGGAAAUGUCUUCCUAAACCCUGGUUUCCUGGUGUAGCAGAUACUGACGCCUGAGCAGCCAGCCCUGCCAGACUUCAUCACUGGCUCUAUCACAGAAACAGACUCCCCAUUCUAAGGCAGAUCCAUCCUCAGUAUGUGCCCCUGGACAUGCUCUCCAGAGCCAGGUACCCACCUUACUGCUGCAACCCUGGCUAUGUGCUGUCGGGACAACUGACCCUCAAAGUGCUUUCCAUCGCCGGGAAAAUGCCAGCUGUCCACCUGGAGGAAGUCUGUGGGGCUGUGCCUGCGCCAGCGAGAGAUGGAGCCCACCCCAGUCCCCUCAACACCUUUCUGGUCUUUGGCCGAUCAUACAACCCCUGUGACUUCCACAGUUCAUCCUUCAUCCCUUGUCCAUCCCUCUGAGUAUCAGGAGCUUCUUCAAGUCUGGCCCAACUUUCAGAAAAGCACCACCACUCUGGUGGCAGAUUGAACGAAACCCUUCUCUGCUGGACUCUUUUAACUUACUUCCUCCUCCUGCCUUCCAGCAGGCAUCUCUUAUACUGCAAGGGUCUUUAGUUCCAGAAUAAGAUAGAAUACAGCUUUUUACAAAUCUUCAAUUCCAUGGAGGGCAGUUGGUGGGCAAAGAAGAUCAGGUGCCUCAGAACAGGCACUGGACCAGAUCACAGGGUUGGAGACCCCGAAUCUGAGGAGUUAUGAGACUGCCAUCUCAGAAACUAUCCUGUGCCAUCUUCAAGUGAAUUCAGGUCCUUCAAAGUUUGUUGGACUCACACUGAACACCGGAGAACCUCUUCCAGUCUGGUAUUUAAACUGUCCCAGAAAUUCUGUUGUGAUGAAAGCUGAUGCAUACAAGAAUUGUCCAGGAGGCUGGAUGACAGCCAAUAGAAUGGAAUACCUGUAGCAGGAAACUUUGGGGCUUAGUCCCCCACCACAAAUUCUGUAAUAAAAAAAAUUCCUGGAAAAUUUCAGAACCCGUAGGGGGCUCUUGAAUUUGUAGUAUCUGCAAAGGGACCACUUUCUGGUUCAAUGUCACCUCCUAAAUCAAACUUUUAACACCCUAUGUUAACAAUAAUUACCUCACAUCCCCCACAAGAGCUAUCAACUCCCUUUUCUCUAUCCAAAAGAAGCCCUAAUGCUGAUGAAAAGACCAGGACCACAGUGAUAUUCCAGGCACACAACCAGUUGUGAAAUGAUGGGACACUGAGCCUGAGUGAUCCGCUGACCACACAGCAACAAAGAAAUUGGGUCUGGAUAACAUCUUAACUGUGAUGCAAUAAAAUUGAUUUUUAAAAUGA